CAAAGGUCGUAGAGCCACUUUUUGUGUUGCUGACAAGACCGGAGUUUGGACCUGAUGGGCAACACAGCACGCUGCAGGUCCUUGUGAAUAUCCUAGAGCAUCCGCAGUGCCGCGCUGAUUAUACCUUGACAUCUCACCAAGCUAUAGAACCUCUUAUUCCCUUACUUGAUUCUCCUGCUUCUGCCGUGCAACAACUGGCUGCUGAGCUUCUGUCUCACCUGCUUUUGGAAGAGCACUUGCAGAAGGACCCAGUUAUCCAUCAAGUGAUUGGUCCCUUGGUACGGGUCCUUGGUUCUGGUAUACCUAUUUUGCAGCAGAGAGCUGUGAAGGCCCUAGUCUGUCUUGCACUGACUUGGCCAAAUGAAAUUGCAAAAGAAGGUGGCGUAGGUGAACUGUCUAGAGUGAUAUUGAAUGCUGACCCUUCACUCCCUCAUGCCUUGUGGGAGUCAGCUGCUGCAGUUUCUUUUAUGAUGAUGGAGGAUUCUUCUGCUGCUGCAAGACUCCUUGAGGUUUUGCUGAACAACGUGAAGAUCAGAGAAACAAAAGCCACCAAGUCAGCAAUUGUGCCCUUAUCGCAGUAUCUUUUGGAUCCCCAGACUCAAGGUCAACAAGCAAGGUUACUGGCAACUCUUGCUCUUGGUGACCUAUUCCAGAAUGAGGCUCUUGCUCGAAGCAGUGAUGCUGUUUCCGCUUGCCGGGCAUUGGUGAAUCUGCUUGAAGAUCAGCCUACUGAAGAAAUGAAAGUCGUCGCCAUUUGUGCCUUACAGAACCUUGUCAUGUAUAGCAGAUCAAAUAAGAGAGCAGUGGCAGAAGCUGG
Molecule: long non-coding RNA, 817 nt
Filed under: Nicotiana benthamiana
Lineage: Eukaryota; Viridiplantae; Streptophyta; Magnoliopsida; Solanales; Solanaceae
Description: long non-coding RNA (NBEN_LNC015529)
Source: RNAcentral